CAUUCUCUCUCUCCGGUGACUCUGACCCAGGUAACCCGAGUCUUAACUCGGUGGCUUUCAAGUGAAGGCCACCAGCAGAGAACUUCUUAUCAGAGCUUUCCAUUGGAGGAACCUCUGAUGAUAAGCCUAUGUAGUCAUGCUCUAAGGGCAUAGACAUGAAAAAUAAAAAACCAUGAAAGUAUUAUCAAGAACCAAUUAGAAGUAGA
Molecule: unclassified non-coding RNA, 206 nt
Filed under: Hevea brasiliensis (rubber tree)
Lineage: Eukaryota; Viridiplantae; Streptophyta; Magnoliopsida; Malpighiales; Euphorbiaceae
Source: RNAcentral